Anguilla rostrata (American eel) is the source of this 1789-nucleotide RNA transcript. It is a transcript of the gene named T-lymphocyte surface antigen Ly-9-like, with no coding region annotated. The record is from RefSeq and is a predicted model, not a curated record. Lineage: Eukaryota; Metazoa; Chordata; Actinopteri; Anguilliformes; Anguillidae. The transcript is spliced from 6 exons.
CCGUAAAACACCAAAGAAGAAGAAGAAGAAGACAAAGAGAUGCUCUUUUGUGGAAAAAACACUACAGCGAAGAGAGGCAUGGCAGCACUACACACAAAACGGAAAAUUACAAACAAUGACCACUCAAUGUCGAGCUUUCAAAACGUCAAGGAGGAUUCAUGCUGAAGUUAUGCUUCUUUAUAUAAUAGUAUGCCAGUAUGGGUGCAGUGAGGGGGUGGCAGAGACAGCAGCUGGUUCCAACAUCACAGUGAAAGUGGGGGAGAGCAUCAAGUUUCCUUUCUCAGCUGAGGGCAACCAAAGCUACAGCGUUGACCUACUUUUUAAUACAUUUAUAAUAGCUAAAUGGCAUUUUCCUGAAAUAACCUUUUUUGUUCGAGAACAAUAUAAGGGAAGGGUCAGCAUUGGUAAUGACUCGAUAUGGCUGAACAAAUUAAGCCUAUCAGAUUCUGGCCUUUAUCAAGUUAAAAUUGAGUAUACAUCGGGCGGUUUUAAACCACAGAAGUAUACAGCCUUUCACCUGCAGGUUUUUGAGCCCGUCUCUAAACUCAACAUCACAGCUGAGUGCCUGGGGAGUAAUGUCAGUCUGCACUGCUUCAGCAGUCAGGGGACUGCAGUGAUUUACAGCUGGGAAACUCUGCCCCCUUGUGGUAAUGACAGCUGUGUGCACCUGGGCCAAGGGAUAGAUCUCCAGUUGCAAGCCCUCUCUCCAUCCACAACGUACAUGUGUACAGCCCAUAACCCUGUCAGCAGAGCCACCAGCGAUUCUGUUGAUCUGGAAAUGUGCUUCCCGCAACGAUCACAAGUUAGAUGGGUUCCAGCCUUGUGUGCCACAUCAGCAUUCCUCGCCUUCGGAGUACUAAUACUGCUGUACAAGAGAAAAAAGUAAACAGUACAAAAGUGAGACAAUUCAAGUGGAAGUUGAUGAGCCGGUCAUGGAAGAGGAGCCACCAUCCGCAGUGCCUUCCAUUGAUCCAGUAUAUGUCAGCACGCUUUGUUCAAGUUAUCUCAGGGGCAACUGAGAGGACCUCUGCAUAGACUAAAUAUUCAAGCAUUAUAUAGACAGGAAGAAGGAAAGCCAAUGGGGAAUGUGAAGCCCUGUUGAAAUUAAACUAUAACAACACACUUUAAAUCAAGGAAUAGAAAUCUAACAUUCUAGCAGGUCCUUGCCAGUGAUACAUUAAAGAGGUAAUCCGGCUCAUUGGUGAGAAGCCGGGCUAGAGCUUUCCAUCUGUGGUGCAUCUUUUAUUGAAAUGACUCCAAGAUAAAUCAUUGCUGGCAACUGAAACAAAGGAAGCUAAUGAAUUCUAUUUUCAUUUUAUUUUACCUCCUGCGAUUGUUUCAUUCAUCUUUGCAUUUCAGCCAUGUAAAUCACUCUGGAUAAGAAUUUCAGCUUAAUGAAAGAGCGAUAUUAUAUUGUAUAUUGGUGCUGCAUAGGUAUGGGGCAUGGUGCCCCACCAAGGUAUAACUUGCCAUCUAAUAUGUGCCAUCCAAAUCUGUAAAUAUACUGUGCCAUUUUGUUUACGAAAGCAUUUACGCAUAAAAAUAAUUAAAUGUUAAAUUACUGACAACUGAAAUAUGUGUAAUUUAGCUUGAAAAAAUUUUAAAAUAUUUGUCAAUUUAGUGAUGUUCAUUUGGUAAUUUCUUAUUUUAUUAAAGUAUUUUUAAAACAAAUUUUUUAUACAGUAUGAAACACAGUUGUGGACAAAAUGAUAUUGGUUAAAGCUGCCUCUGUAUCAGCACUGAAUACUGGCUGAGCACUGAGUUUUGUAAUAAAGUGACUUUUUUAAUA